Molecule: ribosomal RNA, 377 nt
Filed under: Escherichia fergusonii
Lineage: Bacteria; Pseudomonadati; Pseudomonadota; Gammaproteobacteria; Enterobacterales; Enterobacteriaceae
Also listed under: 1 other name
Description: partial 16S ribosomal RNA
Rfam family: Bacterial small subunit ribosomal RNA
Source: RNAcentral
AAAUUGAAGAGUUUGAUCAUGGCUCAGAUUGAACGCUGGCGGCAGGCCUAACACAUGCAAGUCGAACGGUAACAGGAAACAGCUUGCUGUUUCGCUGACGAGUGGCGGACGGGUGAGUAAUGUCUGGGAAACUGCCUGAUGGAGGGGGAUAACUACUGGAAACGGUAGCUAAUACCGCAUAACGUCGCAAGACCAAAGAGGGGGACCUUCGGGCCUCUUGCCAUCGGAUGUGCCCAGAUGGGAUUAGCUAGUAGGUGGGGUAACGGCUCACCUAGGCGACGAUCCCUAGCUGGUCUGAGAGGAUGACCAGCCACACUGGAACUGAGACACGGUCCAGACUCCUACGGGAGGCAGCAGUGGGGAAUAUUGCACAAUGG